Molecule: ribosomal RNA, 216 nt
Filed under: uncultured bacterium
Lineage: Bacteria
Description: partial 16S ribosomal RNA
Rfam family: Bacterial small subunit ribosomal RNA
Source: RNAcentral
UACGUAGGGUGCGAGCGUUAAUCGGAAUUACUGGGCGUAAAGCGUGCGCAGGCGGUUUUUGUAAGUCAGAUGUGAAAAUCCCCGGGCGUCAACCUGGGAACGUGCAUUUGUAGACUGCAAAGCUAGAGUGUGGCAGAGGGGGGUGGGAAUUCCACGUGUAGCAGUGAAAUGCGUAGAGAUGUGGAGGAACACCAAUGGCGAAGGCAGCCCCCUGGG